GGUCAAGCUAAAAAGGGCGCAAGGUGAAUGCCUUGGCACUGGGAGCCGAUGAAAGACGUGGUAAGCUGCGAAAAGCUUCGGGGAGGAGCAAACAUCCAUUGAUCCGGAGAUAUCUGAAUGGGGCAACCCAAUGGAGUUCAUACUCCAUUAUCCAAUACUGAAUCCAUAGGUAUUGGAAGGGAACCGCCUGAACUGAAACAUCUAAGUAGGGCGAGGAAGAGACAUCAAACGAGAUUCCGUAAGUAGUGGCGAGCGAACGCGGAAGAGGGCAAACCGAGAGGAGAAAUCCUUUCGGGGUACGGACUGCUUUUAAGACUGGAAGAGUUAACAGAAUGGCAUGGGAAGGCCAACCGAAGAGUGUGAGAGUCACGUAAGUAAAAAUUCUGAC
RNAcentral lists this ribosomal RNA (388 nucleotides) under human gut metagenome. Its description in RNAcentral is "bacterial LSU rRNA". It matches the Rfam family "Bacterial large subunit ribosomal RNA", at positions 1 to 392 of the family's 2925-position model. The record is from RNAcentral.